RNAcentral lists this ribosomal RNA (253 nucleotides) under uncultured bacterium. RNAcentral describes it as "partial 16S ribosomal RNA". It matches the Rfam family "Bacterial small subunit ribosomal RNA", at positions 524 to 776 of the family's 1533-position model. The record is from RNAcentral.
UACGUAGGGUGCGAGCAUUGUCCGGAAUUAUUGGGCGUAAAGAGCUCGUAGGCGGCCUGUCGCGUCGGAUGUGAAAGCCCGGGGCUUAACCCCGGGUCUGCAUUCGAUACGGGCAGGCUGGAGUUCGGUAGGGGAGAUCGGAAUUCCUGGUGUAGCGGUGAAAUGCGCAGAUAUCAGGAGGAACACCGGUGGCGAAGGCGGUUCUCUGGGCAUGUCCUGACGCUGAGGAGCGAAAGUGUGGGGAGCGAACAGG